Non-coding RNA from Arachis ipaensis, 261 nucleotides. Lineage: Eukaryota; Viridiplantae; Streptophyta; Magnoliopsida; Fabales; Fabaceae. The record is from RefSeq and is a predicted model, not a curated record.
UUAUGAUCAAUUUAAUCUAUUCUGAAUAAAUUGAAAUCUUUGUCAAUGAAAUUCGCAACACCGUCGAUGAUGUCGUCGACGAAGCUUUCAAUUUCUUCCACUAAUAAAGAAGCAUCAACCAAGUUGAACUCUAAAGGCUCCAUACAAAGGUCUGAAGUCUGAAGAUCUGAAAAAGAGGGUUUAUGACAAAAAAUAGAAGAAGUGUCCAGUAAUAAAAUAGACCUGAUAUUGAAGCUGUUAUUUUGUGGUAAUGAAAAAGAA